Long non-coding RNA from Cornus florida, 522 nucleotides. RefSeq lists it as uncharacterized. The transcript has 2 exons. The record is from RefSeq and is a predicted model, not a curated record. Lineage: Eukaryota; Viridiplantae; Streptophyta; Magnoliopsida; Cornales; Cornaceae.
AUUUUUAUAUGACAGUGGGACCCACCUGUACCAAAGUCAUUACAAAUGACUUAAUUCACAUAUCAGACUCUCAUUUUCUCUCUUCUCAAUUACGUUCUCUCGCUCUAUCCUCUCAGUUCCCUUUUUCUUUUCUUUUACCAUCAUUUACAAGCUUGGUUUCUUCUCAUUAAUUGGAAUACUUGGAAGCCAUUUGUGGCUCUUCGAAGAGCACGACGAGGUCUACGCGGUUGUACCAUCAAUUUCAGCUUUUGGUCUCCCCUUGGCCUUCGAAUUUAGAGACCCAUUUUAAGGGUUUUGGGCAAUCUUAAGGUCAUGGCAAAGAAACGGCGGAUGACAAUCCUCCGCAAACUUGAAAGUUGUUAGAAGGUUGUUUGCUAUUUUGUAUUUUGACCAUUCUAUAUAUAUUCAUAGUUGUGGAAAUGUAACUAAGUUAGUAUUCAUGGCCUUGUAAUUUAAGAACGAACUUAUCUUUUGUUUAAUGUAAAUGAAACUAAUGGAAUCAUGGUAUAUAUUUCCAUGUAA